This 451-nucleotide ribosomal RNA is filed under the name uncultured bacterium. RNAcentral describes it as "partial 16S ribosomal RNA". It matches the Rfam family "Bacterial small subunit ribosomal RNA", at positions 354 to 796 of the family's 1533-position model. The record is from RNAcentral.
GUGGGGAAUAUUGGACAAUGGGGGGAACCCUGAUCCAGCCAUGCCGCGUGUGUGAAGAAGGCCUUUUGGUUGUAAAGCACUUUAAGCGAGGAGGAGGCUACCGAGAUUAAUACUCUUGGAUAGUGGACGUUACUCGCAGAAUAAGCACCGGCUAACUCUGUGCCAGCAGCCGCGGUAAUACAGAGGGUGCAAGCGUUAAUCGGAUUUACUGGGCGUAAAGCGCGCGUAGGUGGCCAAUUAAGUCAAAUGUGAAAUCCCCGAGCUUAACUUGGGAAUUGCAUUCGAUACUGGUUGGCUAGAGUAUGGGAGAGGAUGGUAGAAUUCCAGGUGUAGCGGUGAAAUGCAUAGAGAUCUGGAGGAAUACCGAUGGCGAAGGCAGCCAUCUGGCCUAAUACUGACACUGAGGUGCGAAAGCAUGGGGAGCACACAGGAUUAGAAACCCUUGUAGUCC